Molecule: small RNA, 176 nt
Filed under: Cupriavidus metallidurans CH34
Lineage: Bacteria; Pseudomonadati; Pseudomonadota; Betaproteobacteria; Burkholderiales; Burkholderiaceae
Description: small toxic RNA 1
Rfam family: Betaproteobacteria toxic small RNA (bases 111-175)
Source: RNAcentral
CAUCGAACGACGGCGCAUGAGAGCGCGCCAGAGUGCGAAAGCGAAAGUCGGUAACGUACCCAAAUCGCUCGUCGCACCGCCCGCCAAGACCGGCCCCGUCGAUCGCCCGGUGUCUCCUCCACCCUCCUCCUUUGGUGGAUUCGAACCCAAGUCCAACCGACUUGGGUUUUUUUUCG